RNAcentral lists this ribosomal RNA (207 nucleotides) under uncultured bacterium. Its description in RNAcentral is "partial 16S ribosomal RNA". It matches the Rfam family "Bacterial small subunit ribosomal RNA", at positions 568 to 774 of the family's 1533-position model. The record is from RNAcentral.
CGCGCAGGCGGUCGUUCAAGUCGAGUGUGAAAGCCCCCGGCUCAACUGGGGAGGGUCAUUCGAUACUGAUCGACUCGAAGGCAGGAGAGGGAAGCGGAAUUCCCGGUGUAGUGGUGAAAUGCGUAGAUAUCGGGAGGAACACCAGUGGCGAAGGCGGCCUCCUGGCCUGUUCUUGACGCUGAGGCGCGAAAGCUAGGGGAGCAAACG